CAAGGCGGAACCCAAGCGCAUCCAGGCCGCAUGAACCAUUGGUGAUAGUGGAUGUGAUCUUCACAGAUGAAGCCUUGAUGAAAGCCAUCUGCAAGGCAGAUGGUCUUGUCAUGCAAAGGAAUCUAUGUAUUUGUUUUGCAGCUGAACCUCGCACGCAAAUGCGUAUCAAACUUCAAAUACCUGGUUGAUAAGUUACCUGAAUGUGCCAAGAUAAAUAUCUGAACAUGGUAGAAUACCAGGUAUAAACGUAGUCCAAGCUAGUGGAGUUUGUGGUAUAGUUUUAUACUUUGAUGUUGUUACCCAACCCCCCGUGGUAGCCAUAGACCCCGCUCGAAGCCCCCCGACACACACACACACACACACACACACACACACACAAACACAAACACACACACACACACACACACAUACACACACAGACACACACACACAAACCAGGCAAAUAGCACUGCCCCAAACUUACUGCUAGUUUGUGAUGUCUGGCGCACUUGUAAGGCGCGCUUGAUGUGUGUUGCAAUGCCUGGGAAAGAACACAGUCACAUUAUGUUUCUGAAAUAAGAAUUGUUGUGUGCAUGGAGUCGGGCAUGAAGCUGUCGAUCUGUGGCUCUAGGCGUCUAUGAGAUAUGGCCCUAGAUAUCUAAGUCGUCGCCUGGGAAUCUCUCAAGGGAGCCACCCCUUUCUGUCCAUUCACUUGUGCGUUUCAUGUAUCUCAUAUGCUAUAUAGGAACUGUCAUGCUGGUUUCGAAGCAUGUUUGCGAGGCACAGUUUGGACUUAAACGCGAAACUACCUGUUUUACGCCUGUGAAAGCUGCUCCAGGGAAAGCGUACCUCCAAGAUAGCCUUGGGCAAUUACGAAUCAAGACUUGAUGGUUGUUCGUAAUGCAAGUGACCUACACAGGCAUUUAGGGGUGGUGAUG
Molecule: long non-coding RNA, 917 nt
Filed under: Chlamydomonas reinhardtii
Lineage: Eukaryota; Viridiplantae; Chlorophyta; Chlorophyceae; Chlamydomonadales; Chlamydomonadaceae
Description: long non-coding RNA (CREI_LNC001025)
Source: RNAcentral